Long non-coding RNA from Juglans regia (Persian walnut), 353 nucleotides. RefSeq lists it as uncharacterized. The record is from RefSeq and is a predicted model, not a curated record. NCBI's taxonomy places the organism in Eukaryota, Viridiplantae, Streptophyta, Magnoliopsida, Fagales, Juglandaceae. The transcript has 2 exons.
UGAAUUAUGAAUCAUCAUAUAUUUAUUGUACAGUAACUAGACAACCAUGUUUGAUAAAUGAUAUAAGUGAAAGACCCAAGAAAGGUCAUCCUUAGUGAUCAACAAUAUCACCACCGAAACCAGCGUUCCUACACCUCUCCUUGGCCCAAAAGGAAUGAAAGAGACAAAAAUGAAUAAGCAUACACUCAACUACUAAGUGUUUUGAUAAGUUACAUCUCAACUGGUAAGUAAUAGUGAAGAAAAAUAACAAUGCACUAUUUAUACCUUUGACUAGUGAUCAACAAUAUCACAACCAAAACCAGCGUUCCUACACCUCUCUCCUUGGCCCAAAAAGGAUUAGAAAGAGACAAAAU